UCCGGUUUGACACCGGCAGUCUCGCCAGAGUGCCCGCCUUGACGCGAUGGCAACUGACGACAGGGGUUUCGCUCGUUAGGGGACUCAACCCAACACCUCAAGGCACGAGCUGACGACAGCCAUGCACCACCUGUGCACCGGCCCCGAAGGGCUGCCGUAUUUCUACGGCAUUCCAGUGCAUGUCAAGCCUUGGUAAGGUUCUUCGCGUUGCGUCGAAUUGAACCACAUGCUCCGCCGCUUGUGCGGGCCCCCGUCAAUUCCUUUGAGUUUUAGCCUUGCGGCCGUACUCCCCAGGCGGGGCACUUAAUGCGUUAGCUACGGCACGGAACCCGUCGAUAGGGUCCCACACCUAGUGCCCAACGUUUACGGCGUGGACUAC
Molecule: unclassified non-coding RNA, 379 nt
Filed under: uncultured Actinomycetes bacterium
Lineage: Bacteria; Bacillati; Actinomycetota; Actinomycetes
Description: uncultured actinobacterium contains 16S-23S intergenic spacer region
Source: RNAcentral